Molecule: unclassified non-coding RNA, 318 nt
Filed under: uncultured Ascomycota
Lineage: Eukaryota; Fungi; Ascomycota
Description: sequence contains ITS1
Rfam family: 5.8S ribosomal RNA (bases 1-105)
Source: RNAcentral
GAAAUGCGAUAAGUAAUGUGAAUUGCAGAAUUCAGUGAAUCAUCGAAUCUUUGAACGCACAUUGCGCCCUCUGGUAUUCCGGAGGGCAUGCCUGUUCGAGCGUCAUUACACCCCUCAAGCUCCGGCUUGAUGUUGGGCCCACGCCAUCGUCUAGGUGGCGGGCCUCAAAAUCAGUGGCGACGCCCUUCGGCUUCAAGCGUAGUAAUCUUUUCUCGCUUGGAAGGUCCGGUAGGAGUCUGUUCCGCCAUAACUGGGAACGCAAGUUCCCUUCUCCUAUAGUUUGACCUCGGAUCAGGUAGGGAUACCCGCUGAACUUAA